Molecule: long non-coding RNA, 1551 nt
Filed under: Brachypodium distachyon (stiff brome)
Lineage: Eukaryota; Viridiplantae; Streptophyta; Magnoliopsida; Poales; Poaceae
Description: long non-coding RNA (BDIS_LNC005293)
Source: RNAcentral
AUGGUAAAUUUUAAGUAGUAUUAGACAGCAAACUGGUUUGCUAGUCCGUCCCUGGUGGCAUUUGGAGUUUGCCAAACCGGGAGUCAAUGUUUCAGAAGACUGAAAAUUAGACAUCCACCCUCCAUUGGCCACCUCGAUUUGCUGAUUCAGAGCUUCAAUUGACUCGGUGGAACAAAGCGUCCAUGUGAUCAAGCAAACUGGCCGGAAAGAAGUUGAGAUCCAGCGGUCCCUCCGACUGCCACAGGGACUCAUGCUCCGUAUCACUGCAGGGGGUAGCAGAGCUUGCCGUCGAAGAAGCACAGCUCGUGCGAACAGGGAAUUGAGAGCCGAUUCUCCAAUGGCAAGUGGCCGUCAGGCCCGGCAGGGCGUUGCCGUAGCUGCGCUCUUGCAGCACCUCCUCCUGUCAACUCGCCGUUGAGCCGAUGGUGUCAGCAGCCACCAGCCAUCUUUAGUGCUCCGAUGCUACUAAAAUAAACGGCCGUCGUAAUCUUCAGGUACCGUAGAACUCUCAGGAAUCUCCAGAUGGACAAGCCGUUCCUGCUAGCCAGGGCGCGCCGCCCCGGGACCCUUGCAUGAGGGAGCACGGCAGUGGUGAAUGGGACGCAAGCAGGUGGAGAAAAUGGAUCUCCUGACUCAAGCUAGUGAGGCGUCUGAACACGGUCGCAACAAAAUAUUUCCUGGUGCAUCUCAUGCCUACACACAAUAUGGAGUCGAUGUUGUUUCCUCUGGCUUGAUUAUUCUUUUAUCUUUCCACGGUUGUCAAAUGUGAAAAUUUGAAGGAUCUUUCUUUGCAAGUGCGGUGCCUCCUUCUCUGUGUUUUAUCACCUCUCUGAGUUUUGGCUCUUGUUAUUUGUCCUGCAAGGACAAGAUUUCAAUUAAUGCUUCUGCUGGAGCUCUUGCUCUAGCUAGCUUUAGACAAGCACAUGAACAUGGCUUUGCCUCUUUUUUUUUUUUAGUAAGUCUUUGCCUCUUAUUUGGUAACGUUCAUCGGUACACGCACUUGAUAUGAGCUUUGACCUCCGAUUAAUAUGGACCGCCAAUUGCUGGGGCACAUUUUUUUAGCAAAUGAAUUGUUCUAGAUUUAACGGGUAAAAUUAACUUGAAUUAUUCGGCUUCAUCUUCUCCCUGUCGAUCACUGCCAUCUCCCCUGUCUCCGCGCCGGAAUAGCCACUAACCUUGUCAAAAAAUUAAUCUCGCCGUCAUCCUAGCUCCUUCCACAACUUGUUCCCACAUUUCUUCCCCGUGGCGAGAGCAACGAUUUGGCGGUGUGGUAUAUGUCUCGCCGCAAUACCCAAACGAUUCCGCUUUGUGACAUGUCUCGGCGCCUCAAUCGCCUCAUUUUAAAGAGGAAAUUGCAUGGAGAGUCCUUAAACUUGGCAAGUAUAUUCAGUUUCAUCCAUUAACUUGCAAACUUGAAAAACGAUACCUUAAACUUGGCGCGCCGAUUCAUUUUAGUCCAAAUCAACGAAUUCGGCUAAAUUCGGCCAUGCUAGCGGCUAAUGUGGACAUGGUUGGCUCGGGCGGGUUCUUUUCGCGAAUUUUUGGGCGAUG